UACAGAGGGUGCAAGCGUUGUUCGGAAUUACUGGGCGUAAAGGGCGUGCAGGCGGCUUGUCAAGUCAGAUGUGAAAGCCCACGGCUCAACCGUGGAAGCGCAUUUGAAACUGGCAGGCUUGAGUACCAGAGGGGAAAGUGGAAUUCCCGGCGUAGAGGUGAAAUUCGUAGAUAUCGGGAGGAAUACCGGUGGCGAAGGCGACUUUCUGGCUGGAUACUGACGCUGAGACGCGAAAGCGCGGGGAGCAAACAGG
This 253-nucleotide ribosomal RNA is filed under the name uncultured Desulfobulbus sp. RNAcentral describes it as "partial 16S ribosomal RNA". It matches the Rfam family "Bacterial small subunit ribosomal RNA", at positions 524 to 776 of the family's 1533-position model. The record is from RNAcentral. Lineage: Bacteria; Pseudomonadati; Thermodesulfobacteriota; Desulfobulbia; Desulfobulbales; Desulfobulbaceae.